This 183-nucleotide non-coding RNA is filed under the name Bacillus infantis. Lineage: Bacteria; Bacillati; Bacillota; Bacilli; Caryophanales; Bacillaceae. RNAcentral also lists the same sequence under 1 other name. The record is from RNAcentral.
CAUACAUAUGCAGAAACAGGUGUUUUUCUUUGAAAGACUUAAAAGGGAAGUUGGUGCAAAUUCCAACGCGGUCCCGCCACUGUAAAUGGGAGCAAGCUGCAGAAGCCACUGUACGGGAUGUAUGGGAAGGGGCAGCGAGCAUUGACCAUGAGCCAGGAGACCUGCCUGAUUCUUAUGCACCCA